AUACGUAGGGGGCAAGCGUUAUCCGGAUUUACUGGGUGUAAAGGGAGCGUAGACGGUUUGGCAAGUCUGAUGUGAAAGCCCGGGGCUCAACCGCGGGACUGCAUUGGAAACUGUCAGACUUGAGUGCAGGAGAGGUAAGUGGAAUUCCUAGUGUAGCGGUGAAAUGCGUAGAUAUUAGGAGGAACACCGUUGGCGAAGGGGGCUUACUGGACUGUAACUGACGAUGAGACUCGUGAGCGUGGGGAGCAAACAGGAUUAUAUACCCGGGAUGUCCACAGUGUAAACGAUGAAUGCUAGGUGUAGGUGGUAUCGCCCCCAUCUGUGCCUUAGUCAACACAGUAUGCAUUCAGCCUGGGGGGUACGGUCUUUAGAUGAAAACUUAAAGGAAUUCACGGUG
Molecule: ribosomal RNA, 397 nt
Filed under: uncultured bacterium
Lineage: Bacteria
Description: partial 16S ribosomal RNA
Rfam family: Bacterial small subunit ribosomal RNA
Source: RNAcentral